RNAcentral lists this transfer RNA (74 nucleotides) under Nitrososphaerota archaeon. Its description in RNAcentral is "tRNA-Gly". It matches the Rfam family "tRNA". From Rfam's summary of the family: Transfer RNA (tRNA) molecules are approximately 80 nucleotides in length. Their secondary structure includes four short double-helical elements and three loops (D, anti-codon, and T loops). RNAcentral also lists the same sequence under 3 other names. The record is from RNAcentral. Lineage: Archaea; Thermoproteati; Nitrososphaerota.
GCGGCCGUAGUCUAGCCUGGUAGGACGUGGGCCUGCCACGCCCAAGGUCCCGGGUUCAAAUCCCGGCGGCCGCA